GACGAACGCUGGCGGCGUGCCUAAUACAUGCAAGUAGAACGCAGUUGCGAACGGGUGAGUAACGCGUCGGUAACUGCCUCAUAGCGGGGGAUAACUAUUGGAAACGAUAGCUAAUACCGCAUACUGUGAGAUGGACCUGCGUUGUAUUAGCUAGUUGGUGAGGUAAAGGCUCACCAAGGCGACGAUACAUAGCCGACCUGAGAGGGUGAUCCGCAACACUGGGAAUGGGAAACGGGCCAGACUUCCUCCGGAGGCAGCAGGAGGGAAUCCUUGGAAAAUGACCGAAGGCCUGCCGAGCCAAGGCCGGUUAUGGAAGGAGGUUUUUCGGGUGUAAAGCUCUGUUGUUAGAGAAGCGGUAACUAACCAGAAAGGGACGGCUAACUACGUGCCAGCCGCCGCGGUAAUAC
RNAcentral lists this ribosomal RNA (407 nucleotides) under uncultured bacterium. Its description in RNAcentral is "partial 16S ribosomal RNA". It matches the Rfam family "Bacterial small subunit ribosomal RNA", at positions 28 to 526 of the family's 1533-position model. The record is from RNAcentral.